AGUGGUACGCGAGCUGGGUUUAGAACGUCGUGAGACAGUUCGGUCCCUAUCUGCCGUGGGCGCUGGAGAACUGAGGGGGGCUGCUCCUAGUACGAGAGGACCGGAGUGGACGCAUCACUGGUGUUCGGGUUGUCAUGCCAAUGGCACUGCCCGGUAGCUAAAUGCGGAAGAGAUAAGUGCUGAAAGCAUCUAAGCACGAAACUUGCCCCGAGAUGAGUUCUCCCUGAGACUUUAAGUCUCCUGAAGGAACGUUGAAGACGACGACGUUGAUAGGCCGGGUGUGUAAGCGCAGCGAUGCGUUGAGCUAACCGGUACUAAUGAACCGUGAGGCUUAACCUU
Molecule: ribosomal RNA, 339 nt
Filed under: Salmonella enterica subsp. enterica serovar Kentucky
Lineage: Bacteria; Pseudomonadati; Pseudomonadota; Gammaproteobacteria; Enterobacterales; Enterobacteriaceae
Also listed under: 1 other name
Description: partial 23S ribosomal RNA
Rfam family: Bacterial large subunit ribosomal RNA
Source: RNAcentral